This 460-nucleotide ribosomal RNA is filed under the name uncultured bacterium. Its description in RNAcentral is "partial 16S ribosomal RNA". It matches the Rfam family "Bacterial small subunit ribosomal RNA", at positions 338 to 795 of the family's 1533-position model. The record is from RNAcentral.
CCUACGGGAGGCUGCAGUGAGGAAUAUUGGUCAAUGGGCGCGCGCCUGAACCAGCCAAGUCGCGUGAAGGAUGACUGCCCUACGGGUUGUCAACUUCUUUUAUACAGGAAUAAAGUGAGGCACGUGUGCCUUUUUGUAUGUACUUUAUGAAUAAGGAUCGGCUAACUCCGUGCCAGCAGCCGCGGUAAUACGGCGGAUCCGCGCGUUAUCCGGCUUUAUUGGGUUUAAAGGGAGCGUAGAUGGGUUGUUAAGUCAGUUGUGAAAGUUUGCGGCUCAACCGUAAAAUUGCAAUUGAUACUGGCAGUCGUGAGUACAGUUGAGGUAGGCGGAAUUCGUGGUGUAGCGGUGAAAUGCUUAGAUAGCACGAAGAACUCCGAUUGCGAAGGCAGCUUACUAAACUGCCACUGACAUUGAUGCUCGAAAGUGUGGGUAUCAAACAGGAUUAGAUACCCUGGUAGUC